This is a long non-coding RNA of Alnus glutinosa, 796 nucleotides long. RefSeq lists it as uncharacterized. The transcript has 3 exons. The record is from RefSeq and is a predicted model, not a curated record. NCBI's taxonomy places the organism in Eukaryota, Viridiplantae, Streptophyta, Magnoliopsida, Fagales, Betulaceae.
CCUCCCACAUCGGUCAGUCGGAACUGUGAAGAUGAGUUUAUAAUGCAAAGCAGAACGGAGAGUGACGGAAAAACACUCGCUAAACAUCUUGCGGAAGUGUGUAGUGGGUGUUUUUUUUUUCAUCAUUAUUCAACCAAAUCCGAUAAAAUUAGGAGAGAAGAUUCGCGUGGCACACGCAUGGUCUAAUUUUAUUUUUUUUCCUGUGUGAUCUCGAGAAUUUGUGCUUCUAUGGCUUCUUCCUCUGCCUUCUUCGUUCUUUUCGGUUUGGUUUUUGGUUUUGGGUUUGGUGCAGUUAUUGGGUGCAACAAGUUGAAGGACGCCGUGUAGAUAGAAGGUCUGUGUUGUCGUUUGGAACAGCAAUACCUUGCAUCCGACGUCUUUAUCGGCAGUGGAAAGGUUCAAUUGCAGAAGGUGCUUUCUCAGGGUUACGCCGCCGCCGCGUGGCCGCUUCAGACUAAAACUGGCAGGAGGAUGAAUGGGUUAAAAGACUCUGUAACAUGGUCAAAAUUGCCUGUGGAUGUUUCCGAUUUUAAUGUCGAGCGAGGCUACCCACAGCCAUAAGGUAAUUCGGCUUGCCUCUAAAGGAUCUGAAGGGCUUUAUGUAACAUAUAACAUGCACAUGCUAUAGAAAAUUAGUAGCUUUAGGGAUGGUAGAGUUCCCUGUUGUAUUUCCUGUGACAGAAGAUAAGUUUGAAUUUGAAGUCUCUAAAGAGCUUCAUCUAAUUGGUGUGUAUUUUAUUGUUAUUUUGUAACUUGUUUUGGUAGUAUAUGGUCUAAGCAUACAUUUAUUGGCUUU